GGUGGGCUCUACCUCUGGAAGCAGGAUUCUGACGGACACGUCAGCGCGGAGCUUUCUGAUUCAUUCUUGUGUUGUGUUGCUAUAUAUCAGUAUCAUCAGUAACGACGAGUUUGGGUUUGGUUUCUGUGUUGCGUUGUGUGUCUCCGCCCCUUGCCACUGCUUGAUUUCCAAUUCGAUUUAGGGAUUCCCUGCGCAGAGUUUUAACCUCUUUCUCUCAUUCUCUGCGCUUCCAAAUCCAAUUCAAUCCAAUGUCGCUCCCCGAUUCUCCCGUCGCCAACGAUGACGAAAUCGAUCCAUCGCUUGACGAAGAAGAAGAAGAAGAAGAAGAAGAAAUAGAGGAGGAGGAAGAGGAGGAGGAAGAAGUGGAGGAGGAAGAGGUAGAAGGAGAAGAAGUAGAAGAAGACGAGGUUGAUGAAGAAGAGGAAGAGGAAGAGGAAGUGGUCGAGGAAGAAGUAGAAGAGGAAGAGGAAGAGGAAGAGGAAGUGGUCGAGGAAGAAGUAGAAGAGGAAGAGGAAGAGGAAGAAUUAGAAGAGAUAGAGGUGGAGGAAGAAGAAGAGGAGAGCGAACAACGAGCAGAAGAAAUGGAGGAGGAAGAGGAAGAAGAAGUCGAAGUGGAAGAGGAGGGGGAGGAAGAAGAAGUCGAAGAGGAGGAGGAGGGGGAGGAAGAAGAAGUCGAAGAGGAGGAGGAGGAAGAAGAAGUCGAAGUCGAGGAGGAGGAGGAGGAGGAAGAAGAAGUCGAAGUCGAAGAGAAGGAGGAGAAAGAAGAUGAGGAACAACAACAACAACAGCAAGAGACAGUGGAGGAGAAGAAGGAAGAGCGACAACAGCAACAAGAAGCAGAAGAAGCAGUGAAGGAACAACAAAAAAAACAACAACAAGAAGCAAUGGAGGAGAAGGAGGAGGACAAAUUGGCGGUGCCAGGUUCUCCACUCGAUGCCGAUAAGGAUCGCCAAGAUUCGAGCCAACAUAUGGAGUUUGAGGGGCAAGACAAAAUCUUGGGACCAGUUUCUUCUGUGGCUGAAAACCCUGAAGUGAUGCCACCAUCUAGUAUGCAUUGCUUGGAAGAGAAUGAUGCCAUGCUAAAAAAAAGUGAGAUACCUACAUUGGAAAAGGACGAGCUUCCCCUGAAAUAUGAAUUUUCGAGCCAUCCAAAAUCAAGAGAAAAUCUGACUUCUGUUGAAGAUUACAGAAGUCAAGUAUUCGAUGUUGAAGUUGAAAAUGCUGGAUCGCUUCUGCAGAAUGAAACAUUUGGAGGAUACAGUGAGCCAGGUUGCAAUAGCAAAGCUAAUUUAUGUGGUGAUAAUAAUAUUGAUUCCAGGGCCAGGGCCACCAAGUCAUCUAGUGAUACUGUACAAGAUAUGGUUAUUGGCCCCCUACCAAGAGAUUGCCUUGUUGAAGAUUCUAAUGGUGGUCAGAAUUCUAGAAUCAAAAUCAUGCAGUCGGAGAUAGAGUCAAGGGAUAAUGUGAAACAAAUGACAUCAAGGACUAGAAGUCUGUCUCCUGGUGCUGAGAUUAAAGAUGGAAACAAACGCCCCAGAAUUAUAUGUGAUUUUUUUGCUAAAGGAUGGUGUAUCAGAGGUAGUUCUUGUAGCUUUCUUCAUAUAAAAGAUACUGGGGCCAAUAUUGACCAGGAGGCUGAAGCAGACUUAGUUACUACUCAUCAGAAGAGACAGUUGAAAGUGGAAGAAGGUGUUAGGGAAAAUGUUGAGAGAUCAAGGAUGAAUCAGCAAGAAACAACUCCUAGUUGGCAUCCAUCUCAAGAAAAACAGAAGUUUCCGCUGAGGGACAACUUGGUUCCAGAGAAUAGAUUUCCAUUUAGUGCAUCAGACAACUAUUUUAGCUCAAAUCUUUCUUUGACUUCAACUCGUGCAGAUGGAAUGGCUACUCUUAGGAACCAACAUAUGUACAAAGGAUAUACUUCCACACUUUUGAGCCAUUCACCAAAUUCGAGCCUGGUUUCUCAAUUUCCAGCUUCAAGUAUGCCACUCUCCCAGCAGAUUCUAGCCCAAUCAGGACGUUCACUGUCUUUUAGUAAUGUGGAUUCUAAAAAAUUUUUGAACACUGACAAAGAAUAUCUCACAUCUAAGUCCACUUUCUCUGGUUCUGGUUCUGGUUCAGGGCGGGAAGAUUUUUCUCUUGUUAAUUUGUCUAGGGUUCCAUCAUAUCCUGCUGGAUAUAAAUCAAAAAUCUGUUCUUAUGAUUGGGAACCUUCUGUGCCCUUUCGACCAUCUUUUUUUAUUACUUCUAUGAAUGUAUCAUCUCCUGGAGAUCUUUAUGACCCUCUUCGUGAUAGCAUUGAAAUACCUAAUAUAGGAGAUGGGUCUUUGAAGGCUUCCCUUUUAAUUCAUGGAUCAAAUAUACAGGCAUCAUCACAGGUUCGGACAUAUGGUGAUUCUGCUGUAGUUGGGAAACACAUGGCCAAUCUUAAUGAUGACAAAAGUUCUGUAUCAUCUCAUAAUAAAUUUUGUGAAAAUGAGCCAAAUAAAAAUUGUCUUCCUCGUGAAAAAGAUUGUCUUCCACCUGAAACAGAGAUAACAUCAGGAACUUAUGUACACUAUCAAGGUAAAAUGGGCAUGGGGCAACAUACCUUUGAGGUUGCAGAUAAUAAAAAAAAAGAGAGAGAUUUGACUGAGUGUGAUGCUAGAUGUCAUGGUGAAGGAUCAGGGCGUAAAAAGAAGAGAGUAGACAGGGAUAAGAAAAAUCAUGAAAUGGAUGUCGACUUUCAGAUGGAUGGCAGCAUGCAGAAGGAAUCGAAGGCACUGAAAUUUUUCCGCGCGGUUCUUAUUGAUCAUGUUAAAGAGUUGUUAAAACCAGCUUGGCACGAGGGUCGUCUUAGCAAGGACACACAUAUAAUGAUAGUCAAAAAAUCAGUUGACAAGGUUGUUAACACCUUGGAACCCCAUCAGAUUCCGACCAUAGAUACUGCUAAGCAAUAUGUUUCUUCAAGUCAGGUGAAAAUUGCAAAGCUGGUUAAUGGAUAUGUCAAUAAAUAUGGAAAAUCUUGAUAUGCAAGCCAAACACCUUUUUGUACAGUUUCUGAUCAGUUGGCUGAUCCUAGUUCAUGAAAAGUUCUGUCUGAGGCUCUCUUUUUCAUACAGAAGGAUCAACAAUCAAGGAAGAUGACCGCGAAGGGGCCUAAAGUCGGAUGUCUUUUUCCUCUUUAUUUCUCUCAAUCUCAAUGUUCUUUUUUGCCUUUUGUUUCUUGUAACUUAGCUAUUGUUAAUUUUCAAAUAUGGCAUAAGUGCCUUGGUCACCCAAACUCUUAUGUACUUCAUGACUUACUGAAAUCUAGUGUUCUUGGUAACAGAAUUUUCCCAUCUCUUA
RNA transcript from Glycine soja, 3324 nucleotides. It is a transcript of the gene named stress response protein NST1-like, with no coding region annotated. The transcript is spliced from 7 exons. The record is from RefSeq and is a predicted model, not a curated record. Lineage: Eukaryota; Viridiplantae; Streptophyta; Magnoliopsida; Fabales; Fabaceae.